GCGCUCUUAGGUUGUUUUUGUUCCACUUUCCUCUCGCUCUCAUAUCGAUAGUCUUGAAC
RNAcentral lists this small RNA (59 nucleotides) under Arabidopsis thaliana (thale cress). RNAcentral describes it as "ATSL250570". Lineage: Eukaryota; Viridiplantae; Streptophyta; Magnoliopsida; Brassicales; Brassicaceae. The record is from RNAcentral.